Oncorhynchus tshawytscha (Chinook salmon) is the source of this 386-nucleotide long non-coding RNA. The record is from Ensembl. NCBI's taxonomy places the organism in Eukaryota, Metazoa, Chordata, Actinopteri, Salmoniformes, Salmonidae.
CAGCAUGUCAUUUUCCAACACUUUGAAAUCCUCAAAACGACGAGAAAACUCCCCGUUCAAAGCACGUGGCAGCGACGUAUACUUCUCCCGCUGGUCAUCUGAUAAGGAACAGACUAGUAGUGUCGGAAGGUCAUCUGAUAAGGAACAGACUAGUUGUGUCGGAAGGUCAUCUGAUAAGGAACAGACUAGUAGUGUCGGAAGGUCAUCUGAUAGGGAACAGACUAGUUGUGUCGGAAGGUCAUCUGAUAAGGAACAGACUAGUAGUGUCGGAAGGUGGGUGAGAUUGUUGUCAUCUGAUAAACAACAGACUAGUAGUGUCGGAAGGUGGGUGAAAUUGUUGUCAUCUGAUAAGGAACAGACUAGUUGUGUCGGAAGGUGGGUGAGAU